Molecule: ribosomal RNA, 492 nt
Filed under: uncultured bacterium
Lineage: Bacteria
Description: partial 16S ribosomal RNA
Rfam family: Bacterial small subunit ribosomal RNA
Source: RNAcentral
ACGAACGCUGGCGGCGUGCUUAACACAUGCAAGUCGAACGGUGAAGCGCCUUCCUUUUUGGUGGGUGUGGAUGAGUGGCGAACGGGUGAGUAACACGUGAGUAACCUGCCCCCUUCUUCUGGAUAACCGCAUGAAAGUGUGGCUAAUACGGGAUAUUCUGGGUCUGUCGCAUGAUGGGUCUGGGAAAGAUAUUGUUUCGGUGGGGGAUGGGCUCGCGGCCUAUCAGCUUGUUGGUGGGGUGAUGGCCUACCAAGGCGGUGACGGGUAGCCGGCCUGAGAGGGUGGACGGUCACACUGGGACUGAGACACGGCCCAGACUCCUACGGGAGGCAGCAGUGGGGAAUAUUGCACAAUGGGCGCAAGCCUGAUGCAGCGACGCCGCGUGAGGGAUGGAGGCCUUCGGGUUGUGAACCUCUUUCGCCAGUGAAGCAGGCCUGCCUCGUUUGUGGGUGGGUGGACGGUAGCUGGAUAAGAAGCGCCGGCUAACUACGU